ACGUAGGGGGCGAGCGUUGUCCGGAAUUAUUGGGCGUAAAGAGCUCGUAGGCGGUAGUUCAAGUCAGGUGUGAAAGCCGACGGCUUAACCGGAGGACUGCACUUGAUACUGGGCUGCUAGAGGUAAGGAGAGGAAAGUGGAAUUCCCGGUGUAGCGGUGAAAUGCGUAGAUAUUGGGAGGAACACCAGUGGCGAAGGCGACUUACUGGCCAUAACCUGACGCUGAGGCGCGAAAGCCAGUGGAGCAAACGG
RNAcentral lists this ribosomal RNA (251 nucleotides) under uncultured prokaryote. RNAcentral's name for it is "partial 16S rRNA". It matches the Rfam family "Bacterial small subunit ribosomal RNA", at positions 525 to 775 of the family's 1533-position model. The record is from RNAcentral.